UACGAAGGGGGCUAGCGUUGUUCGGAAUUACUGGGCGUAAAGCGCACGUAGGCGGAUAUUUAAGUCAGGGGUGAAAUCCCAGAGCUCAACUCUGGAACUGCCUUUGAUACUGGGUAUCUUGAGUAUGGAAGAGGUAAGUGGAAUUGCGAGUGUAGAGGUGAAAUUCGUAGAUAUUCGCAAGAACACCAGUGGCGAAGGCGGCUCACUGGCCCGAUACGUGACGCUGAGGAGCGAAAGCGUGGGAGCGAACAGG
This 253-nucleotide ribosomal RNA is filed under the name uncultured bacterium. RNAcentral's name for it is "partial 16S ribosomal RNA". It matches the Rfam family "Bacterial small subunit ribosomal RNA", at positions 524 to 776 of the family's 1533-position model. The record is from RNAcentral.